UUUGAUUUCUUCACUUCCACUA
This 22-nucleotide small RNA is filed under the name Arabidopsis thaliana (thale cress). Its description in RNAcentral is "ATSL301710". The record is from RNAcentral. Lineage: Eukaryota; Viridiplantae; Streptophyta; Magnoliopsida; Brassicales; Brassicaceae.